ACCCGCUGAACUUAAGCAUAUCAAUAAGCGGAGGAAAAGAAACCAACAGGGAUUGCCUCAGUAACGGCGAGUGAAGCGGCAACAGCUCAAAUUUGAAAUCUGGCGCCUUUGGACGCCCAAGUGGUAAUUGGAAGAGGCGUCUUCGGUUUGGGCUCCAGUCUAGCGCCCUGGAAACAGGCGGCCCCAAAGGGGGAAAAUCCCGAGGCCGGCUGGCAGCUUCUUUCCGUGUGAAGUGUCUUCUAAGACUCGAGGUGUUUGGGAGAUGCAUCUCUAAUAAUGGGUGAGUAACUUUCUUCUAGAGCUAUAAUACUGGCGACGAGAGACGAUAGCGCACGAGGAGAGUGAGUCGAAAGAUGAAAAGCGCUUUGAAAAUAGAGAGUAAAAACGUGCGCGAAAAUGUGGAAAGGGAAGCGCUUGAGCCCCGAGUCGGUCGGGCAUGUUCUCUUUCCCUUCUGGGGUUCCUGCUCUUUUCCCGUGCCCGGCCAGCAUCAGUUGGGGCGGUGGGAUAAAGGCUUGGGGAAUGUGGCUCCUUUCGGGGAGUCUUAUUGCGCCAGGCGCCAUGCCGCCCGCCUCGACCGAGGUCCGCGCUUCGGCUAGGAUGCUGGCGUAAUGGUCUU
RNAcentral lists this ribosomal RNA (617 nucleotides) under uncultured fungus. RNAcentral describes it as "eukaryotic LSU rRNA". It matches the Rfam family "Eukaryotic large subunit ribosomal RNA", at positions 23 to 641 of the family's 3401-position model. The record is from RNAcentral. Lineage: Eukaryota; Fungi.